GCAAGGUUAACCGUAUAGGGGAGCCGUAGGGAAACCGAGUCUUAACCGGGCGUUAAGUUGCAGGGUAUAGACCCGAAACCCGGUGAUCUAGCCAUGGGCAGGUUGAAGGUUGGGUAACACUAACUGGAGGACCGAACCGACUAAUGUUGAAAAAUUAGCGGAUGACCUGUGGCUGGGGGUGAAAGGCCAAUCAAACCGGGAGAUAGCUGGUUCUCCCCGAAAGCUAUUUAGGUAGCGCCUCGUGAAUUCAUCUCCGGGGGUAGAGCACUGUUUCGGCUAGGGGGCCAUCCCGGCUUACCAACCCGAUGCAAACUGCGAAUACCGGAGAAUGUUAUCACGGGAGACACACGGCGGGUGCUAACGUCCGUCGUGAAGAGGGAAACAACCCAGACCGCCAGCUAAGGUCCCAAAGUCAUGGUUAAGUGGGAAACGAUGUGGGAAGGCCCAGACAGCCAGGAUGUUGGCUUAGAAGCAGCCAUCAUUUAAAGAAAGCGUAAUAGCUCACUGGUCGAGUCGGCCUGCGCGGAAGAUGUAACGGGGCUAAACCAUGCACCGAAGCUGCGGCAGCGAACGUAUCACCCAAGACAACUUUGCGGAGUUGACGAUUGACGGAGCGAAGCGACGUCAAAGCGUUCAUUAAAGUCGAGUUGGCUUA
This 655-nucleotide ribosomal RNA is filed under the name Salmonella enterica. RNAcentral describes it as "partial 23S ribosomal RNA". It matches the Rfam family "Bacterial large subunit ribosomal RNA", at positions 640 to 1244 of the family's 2925-position model. The record is from RNAcentral. Lineage: Bacteria; Pseudomonadati; Pseudomonadota; Gammaproteobacteria; Enterobacterales; Enterobacteriaceae.